This 1279-nucleotide long non-coding RNA is filed under the name Pan troglodytes (chimpanzee). RNAcentral describes it as "lncRNA (ENSPTRG00000053053.1)". Lineage: Eukaryota; Metazoa; Chordata; Mammalia; Primates; Hominidae. The record is from RNAcentral.
GUAUUUAUUAUUUUUACAUAAGAAAACAUUUAUAUGAGAAAAAGUAUCAGCAGAGCUUACACAGUGAUAGGAUUAUACAUCAUGAUUUCCUCUUUAAACAUCUUUAUAAUUAUCAAACAUGAGUGAUUAAAAAAACUGAAGCUAAAGGUAGCAAUAUUCUCUAUACUGGCAGAUUUUUCAGCAUUGCAUAUGAACCCACCUCCGGUAAGUGGGUUAUCUUUCUAAUUUAUGACUUCAGUGAAAUCUGUUUCCUGGCAAUGGUUGCCAGGGCACGCCUUCUCUCUUGUUCUCCGUCAUGCUUACUUUUAAGCCUAAGGGCAAGAAAGAAAUAGACAGAAAGCAAGAAGUAGCAUGAGCAUCUUUUUUUUUUUUUUUUUUUUUUUUGGCAUGUUGGAAAAAGGAGCUCUAAACACACUCCACUAAGCAUAGCACAUGCCUUGGAUUCAAGCAGUGGACCUCAAAGAGUAGCGUCUCCUUUUAAGCUUUGCAGGGCAAGUUUGGGGCACUGUCAGUGAAAAAUUGUCACUGCUUCUUGCCUUGGUGCUUGCCUGAACAACAAGGAGUUCUUCUAACUGCCUUAAAAGGAAUCUACUCCUCUCUCCCGCCACAGAUCAGGAGAUGGGGAGACAGAGGAAAGAAAGGAGAGAUCUGUGGAUCCCGUGAGCACCCCAAAUUGGAACCACUCCUUACCGUGUCUCAAGGAAGCAACAGACCUCCAAACUGCAUGGUGUACCUCAAAAGAGCAAGACCCAAGCAAAAAGACCUGCUGCUUCAAGUCCUUUCUGCCAUUGCUGAAGAAAUGACAUGAAUUCAGACAAAGGAAUUACCUGGUCCAAUUGUGUCUAUCUGAGACAGUCCUCAAAUGCUAAGUUACCAGCCAUCUAGGAUCACACAGCUAAGGAAGGCUUCCCGCCGCUGCCUCCCCUGCCUUUCCUGCUGAGCCUGAUGGAUGAGCUUUUGUCUGUCUGGCAUCCCAAGCCCUUCGCUUUGUUUCACUUUUGACAGCUAUGCACCUUGCGGAGAAGCCAGCCAGGUUUGGAAACCAGUUUGGUCCUGACAGACCUGCACAGCGGUAACUCACCUAUAUACGCAGUGAUCUGGGGCAGUGCCUGCCUGGGCACUAGAAAGUCAGACCAGGUUCCCAGAGAGCCCUAAGGGCAACCAGUCUAAACAGAUACAUCAAUCUGCUCACUAAAGAAUAAAGCUGGCUCUCCCAAUAUAAUUACAGGCUGGCUGAUUUAUUCUUCCAAUCUUUAGUGCGUGGCAAGGUUAGUGUUAU